UACAGAGACUGCAAGCGUUAUUCGGAUUCACUGGGCGUAAAGGGUGCGCAGGCGGUUGGGUGUGUCAGGUGUGAAAGCCCGGGGCUUAACCCCGGAAUUGCGCCUGAAACUACAUGACUAGAGCAUUGGAGAGGGUAGCGGAAUUCACGGUGUAGCAGUGAAAUGCGUAGAUAUCGUGAGGAACACCAGAGGCGAAGGCGGCUACCUGGACAAUUGCUGACGCUCAGGCACGAAAGCGUGGGGAGCAAAAGGG
RNAcentral lists this ribosomal RNA (253 nucleotides) under uncultured bacterium. RNAcentral describes it as "partial 16S ribosomal RNA". It matches the Rfam family "Bacterial small subunit ribosomal RNA", at positions 524 to 776 of the family's 1533-position model. The record is from RNAcentral.